RNAcentral lists this ribosomal RNA (372 nucleotides) under uncultured organism. RNAcentral's name for it is "bacterial SSU rRNA". It matches the Rfam family "Bacterial small subunit ribosomal RNA", at positions 526 to 896 of the family's 1533-position model. The record is from RNAcentral.
CGGAGGUCUCAAGCGUUGUUCGGAAUCACUGGGCGUAAAGGGUGCGUAGGCCGCACGGUAAGUCAGAGGUGAAAUCCCGGAGCUCAACUCCGGAAUUGCCUCCGAUACUGCCGUGCUUGAGGACUGGAGAGGAGUCUGGAAUUCACAGUGGAGCAGUGAAAUGCGUAGAUAUUGUGAGGAACACUAGUGGCGAAGGCGAGACUCUGGACAGUUCCUGACGCUGAGGCACGAAGGCCAGGGGAGCAAACGGGAUUAGAUACCCCGGUAGUCCUGGCAGUAAACGGUGCACGCUUGGUGUGGCAGGAUUCGACCCCUGCCGUGCCGGAGCUAACGCGUUAAGCGUGCCGCCUGGGAAGUACGGUCGCAAGAUUA